GGUCAAGCUACAAAGAGCUAACGGUGGAUACCUUGGCACACAGAGGCGAAGAAGGACGUAGUUACCGACGAAAC
Molecule: ribosomal RNA, 74 nt
Filed under: Coelosphaerium sp. G3
Lineage: Bacteria; Bacillati; Cyanobacteriota; Cyanophyceae; Synechococcales; Coelosphaeriaceae
Description: partial 23S ribosomal RNA
Source: RNAcentral